ACACUCCUGCGGGAGGCAGCAGUGGGGAAUUUUGGACAAUGGGCGAAAGCCUGAUCCAGCAAUGCCGCGUGAGUGAAGAAGGCCUUCGGGUUGUAAAGCUCUUUUGUCAGGGAAGAAACGGUGAGAGCUAAUAUCUCUUGCUAAUGACGGUACCUGAAGAAUAAGCACCGGCUAACUACGUGCCAGCAGCCGCGGUAAUACGUAGGGUGCAAGCGUUAAUCGGAAUUACUGGGCGUAAAGCGUGCGCAGGCGGUUUUGUAAGUCUGAUGUGAAAUCCCCGGGCUCAACCUGGGAAUUGCAUUGGAGACUGCAAGGCUAGAAUCUGGCAGAGGGGGGUAGAAUUCCACGUGUAGCAGUGAAAUGCGUAGAUAUGUGGAGGAACACCGAUGGCGAAGGCAGCCCCCUGGGUCAAGAUUGACGCUCAUGCACGAAAGCGUGGGGAGCAAACAGGAUUAGAUACCCCGGUAGUCCCAU
This 474-nucleotide ribosomal RNA is filed under the name uncultured organism. RNAcentral's name for it is "partial 16S ribosomal RNA". It matches the Rfam family "Bacterial small subunit ribosomal RNA", at positions 333 to 798 of the family's 1533-position model. The record is from RNAcentral.